RNAcentral lists this unclassified non-coding RNA (197 nucleotides) under uncultured Chaetothyriaceae. RNAcentral describes it as "sequence contains ITS1". The record is from RNAcentral. Lineage: Eukaryota; Fungi; Ascomycota; Eurotiomycetes; Chaetothyriales; Chaetothyriaceae.
CCGAGUUUGGGUCGCCCCCGCGCGCCCGACCUCCAACCCUUUGUCUACCUGACCUUAACUGUUGCUUCGGCAGGCCCGCGGCCUUUGGGCUGCCGCCGGGGGUCUCGCGACCCCGGGCCCGCGCCUGUCGACGGCCCUUUACCAAACUCUUGACAAAAAACAUGUCGUCUGAGUAUACCGAUUUUUAAAUCAAAUCA